Molecule: ribosomal RNA, 1432 nt
Filed under: metagenome
Description: bacterial LSU rRNA
Rfam family: Bacterial large subunit ribosomal RNA
Source: RNAcentral
GGAAGUCCCGGUCGCUGCGUUGGAGAAGGCACUCAGGCAAAUCCGGGUGCGUAAUUCAAGGGCGUGGCGCCAUUCACUUCGGUGAAGAAGCAAUCGGAAGUGGUUCCAAGAAAAGCCUCUAAGCUUCAGUUUAACAGGACCGUACCGCAAACCGACACAGGUGGGCGAGAUGAGUAUUCUAAGGCGCUUGAGAGAACUCGGGAGAAGGAACUCGGCAAAUUGGUACCGUAACUUCGGGAUAAGGUACGCCCCUGUAGCCUGACUGGCCUGCGCCAGAAGGGUGAAGGGGUUGCAAUAAACUGGUGGCUGCGACUGUUUAAUAAAAACACAGCACCCUGCAAACACGAAAGUGGACGUAUAGGGUGUGACGCCUGCCCGGUGCCGGAAGAUUAAAUGAUGGGGUGCAAGCUCUUGAUUGAAGUCCCGGUAAACGGCGGCCGUAACUAUAACGGUCCUAAGGUAGCGAAAUUCCUUGUCGGGUAAGUUCCGACCUGCACGAAUGGCGUAACGAUGGCCACACUGUCUCCUCCCGAGACUCAGCGAAGUUGAAGUGUUUGUGAUGAUGCAAUCUCCCCGCGGCUAGACGGAAAGACCCCAUGAACCUUUACUGUAGCUUUGCAUUGGACUUUGAACCGGUCUGUGUAGGAUAGGUGGGAGGCUUUGAAGCGUGGACGCCAGUCUGCGUGGAGCCAACCUUGAAAUACCACCCUGGUUUGUUUGAGGUUCUAACCUUGGUCCGUAAUCCGGAUCGGGGACAGUGCAUGGUAGGCAGUUUGACUGGGGCGGUCUCCUCCCAAAGUGUAACGGAGGAGUACGAAGGUACGCUAGGUACGGUCGGAAAUCGUGCUGAUAGUGCAAUGGCAUAAGCGUGCUUAACUGCGAGACCGACAAGUCGAGCAGGUGCGAAAGCAGGUCAUAGUGAUCCGGUGGUUCUGUAUGGAAGGGCCAUCGCUCAACGGAUAAAAGGUACUCUGGGGAUAACAGGCUGAUACCGCCCAAGAGUUCAUAUCGACGGCGGUGUUUGGCACCUCGAUGUCGGCUCAUCUCAUCCUGGGGCUGUAGCCGGUCCCAAGGGUAUGGCUGUUCGCCAUUUAAAGAGGUACGUGAGCUGGGUUUAAAACGUCGUGAGACAGUUUGGUCCCUAUCUGCCGUGGGCGCUGGAUAUUUGAAGGGGGCUGCUCCUAGUACGAGAGGACCGGAGUGGACGAACCUCUGGUGUACCGGUUGUCACGCCAGUGGCAUCGCCGGGUAGCUAUGUUCGGAAGAGAUAACCGCUGAAAGCAUCUAAGCGGGAAACUCGCCUUAAGAUGAGAUAUCCCCGGGGCUUCGAGCCCCUUGAAGGGUCGUUCGAGACCAGGACGUUGAUAGGUCAGGUGUGGAAGCGCAGUAAUGCGUUAAGCUAACUGAUACUAAUUGCCCGUAAGGCUUGACC